RNAcentral lists this non-coding RNA (148 nucleotides) under Chlorocebus sabaeus (green monkey). Lineage: Eukaryota; Metazoa; Chordata; Mammalia; Primates; Cercopithecidae. The record is from Rfam by way of RNAcentral.
GCUGGGCGUGGUGACCCACGCCUAUAGUCCCAGCUACUCGGGAGGCUGAGAUGGGAGGAUCGCUUGAACCCAGGAGGUUGAGGCUGCAGUGAGCUGUGACUGCACCACGGCGCUCCAGCCUGGGUGACAGAGUGAGAACCUGUCUCAA